AAAGAAAAUAACAAUGAUUCCCUUAGUAACUGCGAGUGAAGGGGGAAANGCUCAAAUUUUAAAUCUGUUAGGUUAUACCUGACCGAGUUGUAAUUUGAAGAGGCGUUUUCUGAGGUUUUGAUCAGUCCAAGUCCUUUGGGAUAAGGCAUCAUGGAGGGUGAGAAUCCCGUUCGGUUGAUCAGAACUUCUUUACGAUACGUCAUCAAAGAGUCAAGUUGUUUGGGAUUGCAGCUUAAAAUGGGAGGUAAAUUUCUCCUAAGGCUAAAUAACGGCGAGAGACCGAUAGCGAACAAGUACCGUGAGGGAAAGAUGAAAAGAACUUUGAAAAGAGAGUUAAACAGUACGUGAAAUUGUUGAAAGGGAAACGAUUGAAGCCAGUCGUACCGGCGGGUAAUCAGCCUUUUGGGUGUGAUUAUGUGGAGUGUGAGGAGUUAAACACCCUCAUCUUUGCAUAUUCGUGCACUUUGGGUGUACUUGCUCGUGUGGUAGGUUAACAUCAAUUUUGAUCGUCAUAAAAUGAUUGGAGGAAUGUAGCUUCGAUCUCGUAUUGAAGUGUUAUAGCCUUCGGUAGAUGUGAUGAUUGGGAUUGAGGAUUGCAACGGAUACCCUUCGGGGCUACCUGUCUGAUCUCUGAAAGUUGCUCUGGUGCUGAAAGCUUGCUUAUAGUAUCAAAGUUGACGUUCAACAGGUUAGAACGGGAUAAAUUCGUUAAGGAUGUUGACGUAAUGGCUUUAAACGACC
This 741-nucleotide ribosomal RNA is filed under the name Glomeromycotina sp. OTU9 DJMC-2012. RNAcentral describes it as "eukaryotic LSU rRNA". It matches the Rfam family "Eukaryotic large subunit ribosomal RNA", at positions 58 to 649 of the family's 3401-position model. The record is from RNAcentral. Lineage: Eukaryota; Fungi; Glomeromycota.